This 460-nucleotide ribosomal RNA is filed under the name uncultured bacterium. Its description in RNAcentral is "partial 16S ribosomal RNA". It matches the Rfam family "Bacterial small subunit ribosomal RNA", at positions 338 to 795 of the family's 1533-position model. The record is from RNAcentral.
CCUACGGGAGGCAGCAGUGAGGAAUAUUGGUCAAUGGACGAGAGUCUGAACCAGCCAAGUAGCGUGAAGGAUGACUGCCCUAUGGGUUGUAAACUUCUUUUAUAUGGGAAUAAAACAGGGUAUGCAUACCAUCUUGUAUGUACCAUAUGAAUAAGGAUCGGCUAACUCCGUGCCAGCAGCCGCGGUAAUACGGAGGAUCCGAGCGUUAUCCGGAUUUAUUGGGUGUAAAGGGAGCGUAGGUGGAUUGUUAAGUCAGUUGUGAAAGUUGGCGGCUCAACCGUAAAAUUGCAGUUGAAACUGGCAGUCUAGAGUACAGGAGAGGGAGGCGGAAUUCGUGGUGUAGCGGUGAAAUGCGUAGAUAUCACGAAGAACACCGAUUGCGAAGGCAGCUCACUGGACUGCAACUGACACUGAGGCUCGAAAGUGUGGGUAGCAAACAGGAUUAGAUACCCGGGUAGUC